This 253-nucleotide ribosomal RNA is filed under the name uncultured bacterium. Its description in RNAcentral is "partial 16S ribosomal RNA". It matches the Rfam family "Bacterial small subunit ribosomal RNA", at positions 524 to 776 of the family's 1533-position model. The record is from RNAcentral.
AACGUAGGUGGCAAGCGUUAUCCGGAUUUACUGGGCGUAAAGCGUGUGCAGGCGGGGGGGCAAGUGGGGUAUGAAAUCGCCAGGCUAAACCUGGCGGGGUUAUGCCAGACUGUCCGUCUGGAGUGCGAGAGAGGGGCGUGGAAUUCCGGGUGUAGUGGUGAAAUGCGUAGAGAUCGGAAAGAACACCAGUGGCGAAGGCGGCUUCCUGGACUCAUACUGACGCUGAGGCGCGAAAGCGUGGGGAGCAAACAGG